AACACCUGUGGAUCUUGUUUAAAUGCAGAUUCUGAUUCAGUAAGUCUCCAUGGGACCUGUGAUUCUGCAUUUGUAAUAAGUUCCCAGGUGGUGCUCA
Myotis brandtii (Brandt's bat) is the source of this 97-nucleotide non-coding RNA. Lineage: Eukaryota; Metazoa; Chordata; Mammalia; Chiroptera; Vespertilionidae. The record is from Rfam.